This 73-nucleotide transfer RNA is filed under the name Tropiocolotes steudneri. Its description in RNAcentral is "tRNA-Leu". The record is from RNAcentral. Lineage: Eukaryota; Metazoa; Chordata; Lepidosauria; Squamata; Gekkonidae.
ACUUUCAAAGGACAACAGCUCGCCCAUCAAUCUUAGGAGUUGACACCUCUUGGUGCAACUCCAGGUGAAAGUA